CCUACGGGUGGCAGCAGUGGGGAAUCUUGGACAAUGGGCGAAAGCCUGAUCCAGCCAUGCCGCGUGUGUGAAGAAGGCCUUCGGGUUGUAAAGCACUUUCAGUGGGGAAGAAAGCCUUGGGGCUAAUACCCUCGAGGAAGGACAUCACCCACAGAAGAAGCACCGGCUAACUCCGUGCCAGCAGCCGCGGUAAUACGGAGGGGGCGAGCGUUAAUCGGAAUUACUGGGCGUAAAGCGCGCGUAGGCGGUCUGAUAAGCCGGUUGUGAAAGCCCCGGGCUCAACCUGGGAACGGCAUCCGGAACUGGCAGGCUAGAGUGCAGGAGAGGAAGGUAGAAUUCCCGGUGUAGCGGUGAAAUGCGUAGAGAUCGGGAGGAAUACCAGUGGCGAAGGCGGCCUUCUGGACUGACACUGACGCUGAGGUGCGAAAGCGUGGGUAGCAAACAGGAUUAGAUACCCCGGUAGUC
This 465-nucleotide ribosomal RNA is filed under the name Vreelandella stevensii. Its description in RNAcentral is "partial 16S ribosomal RNA". It matches the Rfam family "Bacterial small subunit ribosomal RNA", at positions 338 to 795 of the family's 1533-position model. The record is from RNAcentral. Lineage: Bacteria; Pseudomonadati; Pseudomonadota; Gammaproteobacteria; Oceanospirillales; Halomonadaceae.